GACGAACGCUGGCGGCGUGCUUAACACAUGCAAGUCGAACGGAAAGGCCCUGCUUUUGUGGGGUGCUCGAGUGGCGAACGGGUGAGUAACACGUGAGUAACCUGCCCUUGACUUUGGGAUAACUUCAGGAAACUGGGGCUAAUACCGGAUAGGAGCUCCUGCUGCAUGGUGGGUGUUGGAAAGUUUCGGCGGUUGGGGAUGGACUCGCGGCUUAUCAGCUUGUUGGUGGGGUAGUGGCUUACCAAGGCUUUGACGGGUAGCCGGCCUGAGAGGGUGACCGGCCACAUUGGGACUGAGAUACGGCCCAGACUCCUACGGGAGGCAGAAGUGGGGAAUAUUGCACAAUGGGCGGAAGCCUGAUGCAGCAACGCCGCGUGCGGGAUGACGGCCUUCGGGUUGUAAACCGCUUUCGCCUGUGACGAAGCGUGAGUGACGGUAAUGGGUAAAGAAGCACCGGCUAACUACGUG
RNAcentral lists this ribosomal RNA (468 nucleotides) under uncultured bacterium. Its description in RNAcentral is "partial 16S ribosomal RNA". It matches the Rfam family "Bacterial small subunit ribosomal RNA", at positions 28 to 507 of the family's 1533-position model. The record is from RNAcentral.